This 437-nucleotide ribosomal RNA is filed under the name uncultured bacterium. RNAcentral's name for it is "partial 16S ribosomal RNA". It matches the Rfam family "Bacterial small subunit ribosomal RNA", at positions 29 to 507 of the family's 1533-position model. The record is from RNAcentral.
AGCGAACGCUGGCGGCAGGCCUAACACAUGCAAGUCGAGCGGGCAUCCUUGUGGUGUCAGCGGCAGACGGGUGAGUAACGCGUGGGAACGUGCCCUGCGGUUCGGAAUAACUCAGGGAAACUUGAGCUAAUACCGGAUACGUGCUAGAGCAGAAAGGUUUAUCUGCCGAAGGAUCGGCCCGCGUCUGAUUAGUUAGUUGGCGAGGUUACGGCUCACCAAGGCGACGAUCAGUAGCUGGUCUGAGAGGAUGAUCAGCCACACUGGGACAGAGACACGGCCCAGACUCCUACGGGAGGCAGCAGUGGGGAAUAUUGGACAAUGGGGGCAACCCUGAUCCAGCCAUGCCGCGUGAGUGAUGACGGCCUUAGGGUUGUAAAGCUCUUUUCUCCGGGACGAUAAUGACGGUACCGGAGGAAUAAGCCCCGGCUAACUUCGUG